RNAcentral lists this ribosomal RNA (375 nucleotides) under uncultured organism. Its description in RNAcentral is "partial 16S ribosomal RNA". It matches the Rfam family "Bacterial small subunit ribosomal RNA", at positions 527 to 896 of the family's 1533-position model. The record is from RNAcentral.
GUAGGUGGCAAGCGUUGUCCGGGAAUUAUUGGGGCGUAAAGCGCGCGCAGGCGGUUCUUUAAGUCUGAUGUGAAAGCCCACGGGCUCAACCGUGGAGGGUCAUUGGGAACUGGAGAACUUGAGUACAGAAGAGGAAAGCGGAAUUCCACGUGUAGCGGUGAAAUGCGUAGAGAUGUGGAGGAACACCAGUGGCGAAGGCGGCUUUCUGGUCUGUAACUGACGCUGAGGCGCGAAAGCGUGGGGAGCAAACAGGAUUAGAUACCCUGGUAGUCCACGCCGUAAACGAUGAGUGCUAAGUGUUAGGGGGUUUCCGCCCCUUAGUGCUGCAGCUAACGCAUUAAGCACUCCGCCUGGGGAGUACGGCCGCAAAGGCUG